CAGCAGCCACGGUAAUACGUAGGUGGCAAGCGCUGUCCGGAAUUAUUGGGCGUAAAGGGCUCGCAGGCGGUUUCUUAAGUCUGAUGUGAAAGCCCCCGGCUCAACCGGGGAGGGUCAUUGGAAACUGGGAAACUUGAGUACAGAAGAGGAGAGUGGAAUUCCACGUGUAGCGGUGAAAUGCGCAGAGAUGUGGAGGAACACCAGCGGCGAAGGCGACUCUCAGGUCUGUAACUGACGCUGAGGAGCGAAAGCGUAGGGAGCGAACAGGAUUAGAUACCCCGGUAGUCCCUGUCUCUUAUAA
Molecule: ribosomal RNA, 301 nt
Filed under: uncultured bacterium
Lineage: Bacteria
Description: partial 16S ribosomal RNA
Rfam family: Bacterial small subunit ribosomal RNA
Source: RNAcentral